RNAcentral lists this small RNA (142 nucleotides) under Tepidicaulis marinus. RNAcentral's name for it is "Alphaproteobacterial sRNA BjrC1505". It matches the Rfam family "Alphaproteobacterial sRNA BjrC1505". The record is from Rfam by way of RNAcentral. Lineage: Bacteria; Pseudomonadati; Pseudomonadota; Alphaproteobacteria; Hyphomicrobiales; Parvibaculaceae.
CAUUUCGUUAGGGAUUCAUUAGGUAUUAGAAUCGUACUGUAGCGUUGCGUAAUCCAGUCAUAUGGAUUUGAGUGGCUCCUAUCCACUCUGUUCGACGCCUCCCUGUUAGAACUUGAGCCGCGGCUUCCGCGGCUCUUUUUUG